UACGAAGGGAGCUGGCGUUGUUCGGAAUCACUGGGCGUAAAGCGCACGUAGGCGGAUGUGUCAGUCAGGGGUGAAAUCCCGGAGCUCAACUUCGGAACUGCCCUUGAUACAGCACGUCUUGAGUCCGGAAGAGGUGGGUGGAAUUCCUAGUGUAGAGGUGAAAUUCGUAGAUAUUAGGAAGAACACCGGUGGCGAAGGCGGCCCACUGGUCCGGUACUGACGCUGAGGUGCGAAAGCGUGGGGAGCGAACAGG
Molecule: ribosomal RNA, 253 nt
Filed under: uncultured bacterium
Lineage: Bacteria
Description: partial 16S ribosomal RNA
Rfam family: Bacterial small subunit ribosomal RNA
Source: RNAcentral